CCAGACUCCUACGGGAGGCAGCAGUGGGGAAUAUUGGGCAAUGGGCGCAAGCCUGACCCAGCAACGCCGCGUGAAGGAAGAAGGCUUUCGGGUUGUAAACUUCUUUUCUGAGGGACGAAGAAAGUGACGGUACCUCAGGAAUAAGCCACGGCUAACUACGUGCCAGCAGCCGCGGUAAUACGUAGGGGGCAAGCGUUAUCCGGAUUUACUGGGUGUAAAGGGAGCGUAGACGGCAUGGCAAGUCAGAUGUGAAAGCCCGGGGCUCAACCCCGGGACUGCAUUUGAAACUGUCAGGCUGGAGUGCAGGAGAGGUAAGUGGAAUUCCUAGUGUAGCGGUGAAAUGCGUAGAUAUUAGGAGGAACACCGGCGGCGAAGGCGGCCUGCUGGACCGCGACUGACGUUGAGGCUCGAAAGCGUGGGGAGCGAACAGGAUUAGAUACCCCUGUACAA
This 450-nucleotide ribosomal RNA is filed under the name uncultured bacterium. RNAcentral's name for it is "bacterial SSU rRNA". It matches the Rfam family "Bacterial small subunit ribosomal RNA", at positions 331 to 793 of the family's 1533-position model. The record is from RNAcentral.